UAAACACUCCAUUUCUUUCUCAUCAACAACAAACAAAACAAAUCCUAAUACAUUGACCAGCUGAAUCCAGCAAUGCUCCAGCUCACCAAUGUCUAUUUUUGACAAACGUACAGUCGACCCUUUGCUUUGUUCAGGCAUGGUUCGUCCAUUUCGGGUAAAUAAUUCAAUGACCAUUGUCUUCUACUUCAAACGGUAACACUAUUUUUCCCAUUUUUCUUAUUCAUUUUUCUGAAUUCGAAUUUGAAAGAGAAUUCAAAAAAUGAAUUUCAACUUCAACAGUUGUCCCACAUCGAUUUUAGACUCCAAAAAUCCUAGAAUUGGCCUUCUAUAAUAGAGGCCAUUCUCUUCAUUUACAGAACAGGUUUUGAACACCUCAAGUUCAACAUAUUUAUAUUACUUGGCUGAAAACAAGAAAUUUUCUCUUGUAAAUCGAGUUCUUAAAUUAUCGGAACGAGUAAAAAAUAAUUUUGUCCUAGUUCGAGUUAGUUGUCGUGUUGGUUCGAAGGUGAUAGACUCAACUCGUUGCCCCUGUCACUGCUCGACAAACGACAAACAGUGCAGCAUUUGAGGCUUAAGCCUGUUGCUAUACUUGUCGUAUACUUGAGCUAAGUUGCUGCAGCCUUUUGGCCACUUUUCUGCUAAGUUUUGGACCAUGAGCUGCUGCAUUUGAGUAGAUUAUCACUGCUGCACUCGAGGCCACCAUCAUGGAUUUUUCGGGCCGUUUGUCGCUGUGUCUUUAAGUUCAUAGCUGUACUUUGAAGCCAACAACUACUGCAUUUCUUUAAGUGGAUGGUUCACUUUGAUAAAUGGUUUAACACAGUUGAUAUGCUAAGUAGCUGUUGCCUUCUUGAAAUAUUAUUGCUAUCUUACUGUUUUUUGUUGCGACUAUUCAUUGCUACUGCUUGUUGCUGCAAUGUUGCUUGUUGUGGCUGCUCAUGAUUGAGCUACUGCCUUGUUAAAAAAUGACGCCAAAAAAGCUGCUAUACGCUGCUGUUCUGCUUUUAUGAAAAUGAAUAGAUUGCUACCAAAGUCCCACUGAUUUGAAUAUGAUACUAUACUUGGGCCGAUGAGAACAUUUAAUUUGAGGCCAUGCCUUGUCCGGAAAUGUUAUCCCUCGGUUUGGGCGAUGAUGACCUCAUAAUAAUAUCAUGAGGUAGGAACCAACAUGCGUUUGGUGAGGAACCUAGAAUCGCCACUAUUUUACAGCCAAGACAUGUUUCGGGUUUCUUCAUCACAUUUGGAAACACGAGUCUGAGCCUCCGUAAUCAAAGCUCUCAAAGUUUGAUAUGAGUCCCAGGGAUAUUAUUUUUAUGUUCAUGAAUGUCAUCCUAUGGGGUGGCGUACUAUUUUGACUAACUACUUUUCUUUUCAUUGUGCGAGGUACAAAUAAAACAAGUAUGGAGAGCAAAGCUCAAAGACGAAGUAAAAGGAUCGGAUGCUUAGAGCUUCGGACGAAGAACUAGAAGAGCAUGGAUUGCUAAGGAUUUGGGCCCAAGGCCGAAAAAGCUAAAUCUUCUUCCCCUUUCCUUUAUUUUUGUAUAAAUAUGCUAAUUUUAUAUGUUUGCAUUCAUUUUGUAUGAACAUGUAUACUUGCAAAUACCUGUGUAUUAUUGAAACCCUUUAGAACUUAGUUGAAACCUUGCAUAAGAAAAAUAA
Long non-coding RNA from Lycium ferocissimum, 1656 nucleotides. RefSeq lists it as uncharacterized. NCBI's taxonomy places the organism in Eukaryota, Viridiplantae, Streptophyta, Magnoliopsida, Solanales, Solanaceae. The record is from RefSeq and is a predicted model, not a curated record. The transcript is spliced from 2 exons.